GGUGGCUCAAUGGUAGAGCGCUUGCCUUGCAUGCAUGAGGCCGUGGGUUCGAUUCCUCACCACCA
RNAcentral lists this transfer RNA (65 nucleotides) under Dipodomys ordii (Ord's kangaroo rat). It matches the Rfam family "tRNA". From Rfam's summary of the family: Transfer RNA (tRNA) molecules are approximately 80 nucleotides in length. Their secondary structure includes four short double-helical elements and three loops (D, anti-codon, and T loops). Lineage: Eukaryota; Metazoa; Chordata; Mammalia; Rodentia; Heteromyidae. The record is from Rfam by way of RNAcentral.